Molecule: long non-coding RNA, 274 nt
Filed under: Gossypium barbadense (sea-island cotton)
Lineage: Eukaryota; Viridiplantae; Streptophyta; Magnoliopsida; Malvales; Malvaceae
Description: long non-coding RNA (GBAR_LNC004283)
Source: RNAcentral
UUUAGGAUGUAUUACCUCGACUGUACCAUAUGGGAAAAUACUGAGUACCGUAAGAGGAAUUUCUUCAUUAGGUUCAAAAGUGGCAGUGCGAGGAUCUGCUGCAUCUAGUAGUACUUUGUCUCCAACCUUAAGUUGAUUUGGUGAGGUAUUGAGCUUGUCCGGGCUCAGUUUUGGUUUAUCGGGUGUUAUCGGUUUCUGUGUCUGCCAUUCAUCUAUCUCCUCAAUUUGUAGCCUUCAUUUUUCAUAGAUAGUCCUUUGUUGUUGUUUGAACACG